Molecule: long non-coding RNA, 509 nt
Organism: Frieseomelitta varia
Lineage: Eukaryota; Metazoa; Arthropoda; Insecta; Hymenoptera; Apidae
Exons: 3
Source: RefSeq, a predicted model, not a curated record
CGCAUCAGCAUUAAUUCUUUUGGGGAAUAUCCAACGGUGGCUCUAAAGCCAAGAAUAUCUUUUACAGUCUCCACUUCCCCUAAUCCUUCAAAAAUCUUAUGAUGCAUCAAAAGCUAAGAAUAAAUUUUUCACGGCGUUCACUUCCACCAUAGGAUUCUCAGUGGUAUCUACUUGAUGAGGAUCUUCACGAUAACUUUUCUUGGUCCAGUGCAGCAUCGAUGAUGAUGUUCUUCACAUCUAUCGUGUGAGUCGCAUGCAUUUAUGUUCCUCUGGUCACUCAAUCAUGUCGUAGGACGAAAGGUCCGAAUCGGCACGGGUGACUGGUUGUAUACGUAGAAUUUUUGAUGAGCAUAGUGACCGCGGGUAUUUUUUGUACCCGUGAGUAGGAACAUAUUUUUCAGGUUCUUUAUGUAUUAGAUCAGGAUAGGGCUUCUUGCAUAUCGCGAUUUUAACAAUUAAAAUAAUGUAGUAAUUACUUAUAAAAUCAAAAUAUCUUCAAUAUAAAUAUU